GAGAAUAGUGAUCUACGGCUUUAACUUAGUGGUCGUGUCCUACAGUCAGCGUGUGCUCUGAUACCAUCUCUGUAGCGACCAGACCCGAAUGGAUCAAGUCUACUGUGCUCCGGUGUCAUCCCUGGAUCAGUAAUGCUGACACCACACAGUACAUCAAAGGAUUUAUAGCAGAGUGGCAAUCACACACUUAUUACAUCGAUGUCUCCGAAGAGAACUUAUUACAAUAAUAUGGCUUAAGGCCAUCUAAUAUCGAUAACAGCGGAAGACUUGGAAGAUAAAUGGGUCCAUCAACUCCAACGGCAUCACUGAGUAUAGAACCACGACCUAAGAGCACCUUAAUCAUCGUCUGAAAAGUCUGCAACAUUAACGUUGCAGCCCGAAAUGGGUCAGCACAUGGAAUAUGCUGGCAAUGUAACACAUAAAGAAUGAUGGAAUGAAAUAGCUAUACUAUAUGCAUAUUUGGCUGGUGGAUAGCUCUAUGGUUACAGUUUUGCGUAAAGCCAGUUUUUCCCUACUGCAAAGGAAUAAAUUUAUUUAACUAUCAUGGUGGUUGUUAAACAUUGAGAAUGGUUGACAGCAUUCUCAAUCCCAAUUAAAAGUAAUCAUUAACAACCCAACAAUAUUAAUUUAGAAGUAACAUGUUGAGAUUCACAUGAUAUUCAAGUACUAGAUACUCAAGUUGUCCAUAACCGGGGACCCCGCUAAUCAUGAUUAGUUUAUUACACUCUGCAGAGGUUUGCGCACUUUUCCCCACAAGACUCGAUCGCCUCCGUUGGAUUUCUCGCACUCCUGGUGUUUGAGAAAUGGAUGACCGAGACACAGUCUUUCAGAAGCGCUAGCACCUUACGAUGGAUAGACCGGUACACCUAGUUUCCCCUACAUCUGCUAGUCUACCCUAUAAGAGUUGGCACGACUUAGUCAACUAUGCCAGAGCCCAUAUUGGCUUGUGGCUGCACACGUAAGUAUUUAGCAUGAAAGAUCUUAUGAUCCCUUUGAGCCUGGGUGGCGGUCCAAAAUAAAACAGGCAAGUCCUGAUAGACAUCAGGUGCCUCAAUCCACCCAUAUGUGUGUUUAUGUUGCCACCUUAGAUAAACCCUUAAAAUUAUCACACUCACAUCUGUCAUGGAUAUCACUCACCCAAUCCACGUCUACUAGCAUAGCAUGGCAUAAUAAGCAAACGUAGAAGUAACUCCCAAAGGUUUCAUAAUAAACAGGUAAUAGGUACUACCUCAUCUACUUCCCAUCCCACAAUUUAAUUAGAUCCUAAUCAUGCAAUGUGUGAGGACGGAUCUAAUGCAAUAAAACUGGGUUGUAGAAAAGGUAUGAUCAAAGUGUUACUUGCCUUGCUGAUGAUCCGCGAGUCCUAGAGAUUCGAAGUAACAGGCGGCGCAAUCCGGGUAAUCUAUUGCAGACAAACAACAAGCAUACAAUAAGUACUCAUCUAAUGCACAUGUAAAACUCAAACAAGAGAUCGAACCAGAUAGUUCAACUUAAGAACUCCGGUUGCAAAGAGAGAAAGAACCGAACAAAGAAACCGAAAACAAACGGCGGAAAACAACUCGGUUCUAGCAAGUUGAAACUGGGUCAAAUUUUACAUAUAAAAAACUAGUUUAAGUUGAUUAUUCGGAACGGCGGUUUCGAAACGAAACUCCAGGCGCUUGAAUCACCUGAUUCCGAUAAACGAGCGAGAAGAUAGACUAGAACGAAGAUCGGAUCUGAGAUCGCGAUCGCGGAAUAAAUCCGAUGAAAAGAAAAAGAAGAACGGUUAAACGAACGGAUGUUCGUUAACCUAGAAAAAUCCGGUGAUCACGCUCGUUAAGACGAACGGUCCGGCGAACGGUCUCUAGGCAACUAAAUCGGAAAAGAAAAC
RNAcentral lists this long non-coding RNA (1870 nucleotides) under Triticum aestivum (bread wheat). Its description in RNAcentral is "long non-coding RNA (TAES_LNC020063)". Lineage: Eukaryota; Viridiplantae; Streptophyta; Magnoliopsida; Poales; Poaceae. The record is from RNAcentral.